Molecule: ribosomal RNA, 803 nt
Filed under: Escherichia coli
Lineage: Bacteria; Pseudomonadati; Pseudomonadota; Gammaproteobacteria; Enterobacterales; Enterobacteriaceae
Description: partial 23S ribosomal RNA
Rfam family: Bacterial large subunit ribosomal RNA
Source: RNAcentral
CGGUGGAUGCCCUGGCAGUCAGAGGCGAUGAAGGACGUGCUAAUCUGCGAUAAGCGUCGGUAAGGUGAUAUGAACCGUUAUAACCGGCGAUUUCCGAAUGGGGAAACCCAGUGUGUUUCGACACACUAUCAUUAACUGAAUCCAUAGGUUAAUGAGGCGAACCGGGGGAACUGAAACAUCUAAGUACCCCGAGGAAAAGAAAUCAACCGAGAUUCCCCCAGUAGCGGCGAGCGAACGGGGAGCAGCCCAGAGCCUGAAUCAGUGUGUGUGUUAGUGGAAGCGUCUGGAAAGGCGCGCGAUACAGGGUGACAGCCCCGUACACAAAAAUGCACAUGCUGUGAGCUCGAUGAGUAGGGCGGGACACGUGGUAUCCUGUCUGAAUAUGGGGGGACCAUCCUCCAAGGCUAAAUACUCCUGACUGACCGAUAGUGAACCAGUACCGUGAGGGAAAGGCGAAAAGAACCCCGGCGAGGGGAGUGAAAAAGAACCUGAAACCGUGUACGUACAAGCAGUGGGAGCACGCUUAGGCGUGUGACUGCGUACCUUUUGUAUAAUGGGUCAGCGACUUAUAUUCUGUAGCAAGGUUAACCGAAUAGGGGAGCCGAAGGGAAACCGAGUCUUAACUGGGCGUUAAGUUGCAGGGUAUAGACCCGAAACCCGGUGAUCUAGCCAUGGGCAGGUUGAAGGUUGGGUAACACUAACUGGAGGACCGAACCGACUAAUGUUGAAAAAUUAGCGGAUGACUUGUGGCUGGGGGUGAAAGGCCAAUCAAACCGGGAGAUAGCUGGUUCUCCCCGAAAGCU